RNAcentral lists this ribosomal RNA (669 nucleotides) under Triticum aestivum (bread wheat). RNAcentral describes it as "partial small subunit ribosomal RNA". The record is from RNAcentral. Lineage: Eukaryota; Viridiplantae; Streptophyta; Magnoliopsida; Poales; Poaceae.
UUUUCAGAUCACUCGGUUUCAGUAGUCAGCGACGCUCCAUUAUCAGAAAUUCUGAACAAUAGAGAUGCAACUGGUCGAGUGGCAAAAUGGGCGAUUGAAGUCCUUCCGUUGGAUAUCAAGUUUGAGGCAAAGAAAGAAAUCAAGUCCCAAGCAAUAGCAGAUUUCCUCGCCGAGUGGAUUGAACAGCAACAACCGACUCAGAUUCACUCGGGGCAUUGGACUAUGUUCUUUGAUGGGUCCAAGAUGUUGAAUGGCUCUGGCGCUGGUGUAGUUCUGGUAUCUCCCAGAGGUGACAAGCUCAGCUAUGUCCUCCAGAUUCACUUUGAUUCCUCAAACAACGAGGCUGAAUACGAGGCACUUCUAUAUGGGUUACAUAUGGCCAUCUCACUUGGCGUCCGUCGCCUGAUGGUCUACGGCGACUCAGACUUAGUGGUCAAUCAGGUGGUUAAGGAAUGGGAUAUCAGGAGCCCAACUAUGACUGGUUAUUGCAAUGUAGUAAGAAAGCUAGAGAAGAAGUUUGAAGGGUUAGAGCUCCACCACAUACCCCGAAUCAAGAAUCAAGUUGCUGAUGAUCCGGCGAAGAUAGGUUCCACUCGGAAGCCUAUCCCCAGUAAUGUGUUCUUGGAGCAUCUCCAUACCCCGUCAGUUCAAGAAGAUCCCUUCACAGAA